This 464-nucleotide ribosomal RNA is filed under the name uncultured Methanomicrobiales archaeon. RNAcentral's name for it is "bacterial SSU rRNA". It matches the Rfam family "Archaeal small subunit ribosomal RNA", at positions 875 to 1338 of the family's 1478-position model. Lineage: Archaea; Methanobacteriati; Methanobacteriota; Methanomicrobia; Methanomicrobiales. The record is from RNAcentral.
AGCACCACAACAGGUGGAGCCUGCGGUUUAAUCGGACUCAACGCCGGGAAACUCACCAGAUAAGACAGCUGAAUGAUAGUCGGGCUGAAGACUCUACUUGACUAGCUGAGAGGAGGUGCAUGGCCGUCGUCAGUUCGUACUGUGAAGCAUCCUGUUAAGUCAGGCAACGAGCGAGACCCACGCCAACAGUUGCCAGCUCGUCCUCCGGGAUGGUGGGGACACUGUUGGGACCGCCUCUGCUAAAGAGGAGGAAGGAAUGGGCAACGGUAGGUCAGCAUGCCCCGAAUUAUCUGGGCUACACGCGGGCUACAAUGGGUGGGACAAUGGGUAUCGACACCGAAAGGUGAAGGCAAUCUCCUAAACCCAUCCGUAGUUCGGAUUGUGGGCUGCAACUCGCCCACAUGAAGCUGGAAUCCGUAGUAAUCGCGUUUCAACAGAACGCGGUGAAUACGUCCCUGCUCCUU